GUCUCUGUGGCGCAAUGGGUCAGUGCGUUCGGCUGUUAACCGAAAGGCUGGUGGUUGGAGCCCACUCAGCGAUG
Molecule: transfer RNA, 74 nt
Filed under: Loxodonta africana (African savanna elephant)
Lineage: Eukaryota; Metazoa; Chordata; Mammalia; Proboscidea; Elephantidae
Rfam family: tRNA
About the family: Transfer RNA (tRNA) molecules are approximately 80 nucleotides in length.
Source: Rfam by way of RNAcentral